AUGCUUUUUAACCUGGUGGCUGAUAUUUUUAGUAGAAUGCUCAAUAAAGCAGCUAGGAAUAGCCUAAUAUCAGGGUUUAUGACUAAUGUCUUCCCUCAAGGGGUGACAAGUUUGCAGUAUGCAGAUGACACCCUACUUUUUAUUGAUAAUAACUUGGUCUCAGCCAAAAACCUGAAGUGGCUUCUUUCUUGUUUUGAGCAUAUGUCUGGACUUAGAAUUAAUUUUCACAAAUGUGAUUUGAUUCCUAUCCAUGUCCAUGAGGAGGAUGCUCAAAAGGUGGCUAUAGCCUUAUCAUGUGGUUUGGGAGCUUUCCCCUUAAAAUACCUAGGUUUCCCUCUUCAUUACACCAAGCUCAGGAGAGAAGACCUGCAGCCUGUGGUUGAUAAGGUGCUGAAAAAAGCUGCUGGUUGGAGAGGUAGAUUGCUAGGAUAUGAGAAGAAAUUGGUGCUAGUACAAUCAUGUCUAGCUAGUAUUCCCACUUAUCUUAUGAGCAUGAUCAAAUUCCCCAAGUGGGCAAUUAACUUGAUUAACUCCCAGAUGGCUCAUUGUUUUUGGGAUAAUUAUGAAGGUCACCAUAGAUAUCAUCUUGCCAACUGGGGGCUGGUAACUCAGAAAAAGCAAUAUGGGGGCCUGGGGGUCCCUAAUAUUGCUGAGAUGAACCUGAGCUUACUAGCAUCCUGGGUUUAUAAGUUUCAUGCUAGUGGUAAUAAGAUUUGGAAACAGAUUAUUGAUUCCAAAUAUAGAGCGAAUAAUCCUAACAUUUUCUCUUGCCCUGAUAUUAACACAUCCCCCUUUUGGAAAGGGGUCUUGUGGGCUGCUAAAGCAGCUAAGCAUGGGUAUCAAUGGAAAGUGGGCAAUGGGAAGAGAGUUAAAUUCUUGGAAGAUCACUGGUUUGGGUCUUGUAGCUUGGCCAUCCAGUUUUUGGAUUUAUAUGUGAUAGCUAAUGAGCAUAAUCAGACGGUGGCUGACCUUUGGGAUGGAGUUAACCUGAAAAAUUACAUUUAG
RNAcentral lists this ribosomal RNA (1005 nucleotides) under Triticum aestivum (bread wheat). Its description in RNAcentral is "partial small subunit ribosomal RNA". Lineage: Eukaryota; Viridiplantae; Streptophyta; Magnoliopsida; Poales; Poaceae. The record is from RNAcentral.